This 485-nucleotide ribosomal RNA is filed under the name uncultured bacterium. RNAcentral's name for it is "partial 16S ribosomal RNA". It matches the Rfam family "Bacterial small subunit ribosomal RNA", at positions 30 to 508 of the family's 1533-position model. The record is from RNAcentral.
AUUGAACGCUGGCGGCAUGCCUUACACAUGCAAGUCGAACGGUAACAGGUCUUUCGGGAUGCUGACGAGUGGCGAACGGGUGAGUAAUACAUCGGAACGUGCCUAGUAGUGGGGGAUAACUACUCGAAAGAGUGGCUAAUACCGCAUGAGAUCUAUGGAUGAAAGCAGGGGACCUUUGGGCCUUGUGCUACUAGAGCGGCCGAUGGCAGAUUAGGUAGUUGGUGGGAUAAAAGCUUACCAAGCCUACGAUCUGUAGCUGGUCUGAGAGGACGAUCAGCCACACUGGGACUGAGACACGGCCCAGACUCCUACGGGAGGCAGCAGUGGGGAAUUUUGGACAAUGGGCGCAAGCCUGAUCCAGCAAUGCCGCGUGCAGGAUGAAGGCCUUCGGGUUGUAAACUGCUUUUGUACGGAACGAAAAGUCUUGGGUUAAUACCCUGGGAUCAUGACGGUACCGUAAGAAUAAGCACCGGCUAACUACGUGC